Long non-coding RNA from Sinocyclocheilus anshuiensis, 378 nucleotides. RefSeq lists it as uncharacterized. The record is from RefSeq and is a predicted model, not a curated record. The transcript is spliced from 3 exons. NCBI's taxonomy places the organism in Eukaryota, Metazoa, Chordata, Actinopteri, Cypriniformes, Cyprinidae.
AUGAGAGGCGUUCAUCAGGGUCUGAGGAGAUCUGCAGUUUACACAGUGAGAAACUCAAACUCUUCUGUCUGGAGGACAAACAGCCUGUGUGUUUAGUGUGCAGAGAUUCACGGAAAUACAUCAAUCACACAUUCAGACCCAUUAAUGAAGCCGUUUCAACAUGUAGGAAAGCGCUCAAUACAGCAGUCAAGACCUUACAGGACAAACUUCAACAAAGUGAAAACAUAAAAGGCGUGUUUGAGGAAACAGUUCAACACAUCAAGUCUCAAUUAAGCUGAUCACACAGAGCACCAAAUUAAACAGCAGUUUGAGAAGCUUCAUCAGUUUCUCAGAGAUGAAGAAGAAGCUACAAUCACUGCACUGAGGGAGGAAGAGGAG